This is an unclassified non-coding RNA of Pongo abelii (Sumatran orangutan), 148 nucleotides long. It matches the Rfam family "Metazoan signal recognition particle RNA". Rfam says of the family: The signal recognition particle (SRP) is a universally conserved ribonucleoprotein. The record is from Ensembl. NCBI's taxonomy places the organism in Eukaryota, Metazoa, Chordata, Mammalia, Primates, Hominidae.
GCUGGGUGUGGUGGCGGGUGCCUGUAGUCCUAGCUACUCGGGAGGCUGAGGCAGGAGAAUCACUUGAACUCAGGAGGCAGAGAUUGCAGUGAGCCGAGAUUGCGCCACUGCACUCCAGCCUGGGUGACAGAGUGAGACUCUGUCUCAA